Molecule: ribosomal RNA, 497 nt
Filed under: uncultured bacterium
Lineage: Bacteria
Description: partial 16S ribosomal RNA
Rfam family: Bacterial small subunit ribosomal RNA
Source: RNAcentral
GAUGAACGCUGGCGGCGUGCCUAAUACAUGCAAGUCGAGCGAACAGACGAGGAGCUUGCUCCUCUGACGUUAGCGGCGGACGGGUGAGUAACACGUGGAUAACCUACCUAUAAGACUGGGAUAACUUCGGGAAACCGGAGCUAAUACCGGAUAAUAUAUUGAACCGCAUGGUUCAAUAGUGAAAGACGGUUUUGCUGUCACUUAUAGAUGGAUCCGCGCCGCAUUAGCUAGUUGGUAAGGUAACGGCUUACCAAGGCAACGAUGCGUAGCCGACCUGAGAGGGUGAUCGGACACACUGGAACAGAGACACGGUGCAGACUCCUACGGGAGGCAGCAGUAGGGAAUCUUCCGCAAUGGGCGAAAGCUUGACGGAGCAACGCCGCGUGAGUGAUGAAGGUCUUCGGAUCGUAAAACUCUGUUAUUAGGGAAGAACAAAUGUGUAAGUAACUAUGCACGUCUUGACGGUACCUAAUCAGAAAGCCACGGCUAACUACGUG